This 830-nucleotide long non-coding RNA is filed under the name Rattus norvegicus (Norway rat). RNAcentral's name for it is "long non-coding RNA NONRATT002026". The record is from RNAcentral. Lineage: Eukaryota; Metazoa; Chordata; Mammalia; Rodentia; Muridae.
GCAGAUUCAUCGGAAGUUAGGAUUUUUAGUUAUUACUUUUUAGACCUGAUUCUUCUUCAGGUGCUGCAGUUCGCUGCUACUGUGCCCAUUAAUCCUGUGUUGUGACACCCAGGCGAGACGCUCUUACUGCACGGUCACUUUCUCAAGGCUGACUUGUUGCUGUUUGAGAAAACGUUUCACUCUAGCUGGUCCAGGCCACCCUAGAUCCUCUCCUCACUAUGCACAGCGAGAGCCAGAGUUUGAAUUUUAUUGAAUUUAUUUACAGCCCCUGACUGUAGCUGUCUAAGCCUGCUCUCAGGCCUGUCCUCUUUCCCAGUGCUUUAUCAUCUGAGGAUGUAGAUUGAGGCAUACGUUGCCAACACCAUGUGUCUUCCCCUUUAGCUUUCUUCUCCCUGGUUUAAUGUCUUCAUUAUAAUAACAGUCACGAGUGGUGAUGAAGAAUGUUCUAGAGUAUUUGCACCAAAAGUACAUAUCUACCAGCUUCUCGUCUCCCUCUUACUCCUCUGUGGUGGGGAUAAUAAUCCAGUCCACAUGCCUUUGCUUGUGCACUCCAUUGAGAAAUGUGAAAGGGAUGGCCUUCCUUGCAAGCCUUCCUGGUAGGUAAUUCAGCAUGGCGUGGUGAGCCCUGUUCCUUUAAGGCUGGUGUGGAACACUGUAAGCAGCAUUUCUCCAGAAACUCUUUGCAGUGCCCAUGGAUACCAAGUCUGAAGGAAGCAAGAUACAUGAUCUCUUCAAAAGAAACACGUGCGUGUGUGUAUUUACUGAGUGGAAGUGACAGGAGCCCGGGCGGCUGGAGCGUCCCUCAGGGGCAUCAUGGAGAGAGCAGCAAA